This 9219-nucleotide long non-coding RNA is filed under the name Triticum aestivum (bread wheat). Its description in RNAcentral is "long non-coding RNA (TAES_LNC010485)". The record is from RNAcentral. Lineage: Eukaryota; Viridiplantae; Streptophyta; Magnoliopsida; Poales; Poaceae.
GGAAAUCCAGGCCGUAGUAGAACAUGAGCCCCCGGACAAAGGGAUGGAGUGGGAAGCCCAGACCGCGGAGGAAAUGGGGAAGGAAUACUACCCUCUCAUGGGGCUUGGGGGUGGGGAUGAGCUCUCCCUCGUUGGGGAGCCGGUGCGCGAUGUCGCUGGACAUGUAUCCGGCGCUGCGCAGCUUCUGGAUCUGCCCCUCCAUGAUGGAGGAGGCCAUCCACUUGCCUCCCGCUCUGGACAUAGUUGGAGAAGGUUGAGGUGAGAUGUGCGGGCUUGGGCGCUGGAGCUCGGGUUCGCAGAGAUGGAUAAGCCAAGGAGGAAGAAGGCGCAGGUAAUAGGGUUGGAUCUUUAUCCCCUUAUAUGGGCGGACAAAAACAUGCGUCCCCACCGGCCUGAUAAAACUCGCUUAUCCCCCAAGCGCCGCAAUCAAUGGUGCGGUUGGGUUACCCACGUCCGUAUUGAUGGGGAUCCCGGAAUAAGGGGAACACGAUCUCUGCUUCGACAAGACGUGCCAAGGAAACCGCUUCGCUAAACGCGCUGAGGUGAUACAAUAAAAACGAUUUAAGUAAAAGGCUUGGUAGCGGUGUUACGUCACACCAUCAAAUACGUCAUCAGAUUGAACUUGUGUAAAUAUUAUUCUCUCUACGGUGGUAUGUGGAAAUUAUUUUUGCAGAGCCGGACACUAUCCUGGUGUUCACAAUCUUCUAUAAAUUAUUCGGAGGAGGAACCCGCCUUGCAAUGCCGAAGACAAUAUGCGCGUCGGACUCGUCGUCAUUGAAGCCUGGUUCAGGGGCUACUGAGGGAGUCCUGGACUAGGGGGUGUCCGGAUAGCCGAACUAUCAUCAUCGGCCGGACUCCAAGACUAUGAAGAUACAAGAUUGAAGACUUCAUCCCGUGUCCGGAUGGGACUUUCCUUGGCGUGGAAGGCAAGCUUGGCGAUAUGGAUAUGUAGAUCUCCUACCAUUGUAACCGACUCUGUGUAACCCUAGCCCUCUCCGAUGUCUAUAUAAACCGAAUGGCUUUAGUACGUAGGACGAACAACAAUCAUACCAUAGGCUAGCUUCUAGGGUGUAGCCUCAAGCAGGAUGUAGGGUUUUACCUCCAUCAAGAGGGCCCGAACCUAGGUAAAACAUCGUAUCCCUUAUCUCCUAUUACCAUCCACCUAGACGCACAGUUCGGGACCCCCUACCCGAGAUCCGCCGGUUUUGACACCGACAUUGGACAAAACACCUACCCCUCAAGCUCAAAGGGCCAGCUCGGCGCGGCACCCGCCAUGCCAGGACACCGUCCGCAUAAUGGGGAUAGACCCUACCAAAAUUUGCCAGAACAACACUUCCUUCAAAGGAGUGACGCCAGGCCUUUAAGCCAAUCAUACGGGCUCUGUACCACUAGAGGUUGUGUUCGGUUCACCCGACAACCUCCGUCGCGAAAAGCUCACUCUCCAUAGCGCCCCAUUUUACAGUGGCCAUCAAGCACUACCGGGACGCAAAGCCCUCGCCCGCUUUAACGCAAUACCACACUACACGUCUCUUAUACUUACAAUGCCCGGUCCACGCGGCAUAAUCUCAUUAAAGAGUAACUCCGAGUGUUCCUCGACCACGGAGAGCGUGGGGCUGCCUUGACAGCCACUCCGACCUUGCAGGUCAAGGCCCCUAAACACAGGUCAUUCAGACCCCGGACACGGUUAGGCGAGUUCGGCGUAAAUAAACAAGGGGCUUCCCAGCCGUAUACCCCCUUUAUAAGGGGCCGCACGUCUAAAUGAUGAGAGGCAAUAAAGCUCAGCUUUCUUUAUUUGACAAAUUAUACUUUAAUACAACUUUUGCACGAUAUUUAUUAGAAACUAAGUCCUUCUCUUUUAUAGAUGAAGCACGUGCUACACCCGUCCAGGAUACAGCACAACGGAGACACAGGCGCAGACGUGCACCAGGGACCCGUUGCAAGGAUUCUUUUCAGAUUAAGACCCUGCGUAAACCUUUCUUACUGUCUCUUGUUGAUACACAUCCCCCGGUUUCUUACCAUAGCCGAGGAGGAGGCUGGUGUUUUGGCAUCGGCCGCGUCAGAAGUUCCCGCAUGUACCUGGACACUAGGGGCUUAGGGCAUUGUUCUGCCCGGUAUCAUAAAGACCAAACACCUCAGGGAGUGUUCGGCGUCUCGAGUUAGGCCUUAUAUGCAUCAGCUCCGAAUCAUGUCUUUGGUCAAAUGUUGAGUUUGCCCGGCUCCUGUGUUUUGCUGCCUUAUGUUCCGUAUCAUCGGCUAACGCGGCACCAGGAGAACUACUGCGAUUGUGCCCCGGUUCGGCCGGGCGAGCACCUCAGUAGAGAAAGCCGAAAACUGACUGUCAUGAUAUAGCGAGAGACUGAUCAACCACUCGAUCGACCAUUGGAAUGUUUAGAAUUCCUCCGCUUUGACGAAGGACCGCUUCCCGGUCAGGCACAUACGUGCCCCGAGUUCGGAGAAGCGCGGUGCCGCUAGGGGCUAUAUAGUAGCCCCAUAUUCGAGCUCCUAUGGCUAAGUGAAAGUGAUAAAGCGUUAUAGUCCGGUUGCCUAGUUUGCUACGCUAUCACCUCCUUAAAAGGACCAAGACGUUGGAUUAAGUGUGAAAAAGCGCUUUUCUAUUUGCAAACACCCCCGCACCAUGUGCGUGGGGGCUGAAGCCAAAGACUGCCAUCUUUCAGAUUAUACAUACAUAUACGGCCGCACAGGAGAUAGUUCAGUACUUGAACACACAAGUAUAAAAAGCUGUUGUAUUAUAAACAUGAUCUCGGAAAUCAUACAUGUCAUUCAAACAUAACAUUUUUCGAGCACUGCGACUCUAUCGAACGAGCGCCCUGCAGGACUUCCUCAAAAUAGUGCUCCGUGGGGAAUCGGCUUUUGUCUGAACCCCGGGAUGCAACAACGGUGGCAUCCAUCUCCGCCCAGUAUGUCUUACCACGGGCGAGGGCCAUCCGUGCACCUUCUAUACAUGUCGACCGCUUCAUCGCCCCAAUACGCGACACCGCCCCAAGGAAUUGUUGCAACAAGCCAAAAUAACUCUUCGGCUUGGGCCUUCCCGGCCACAGAUGAGCGACCACAUCCGUCAUGGCAAGUCCGGACAAUCUAUUAAGCUCAGCCCACUCAACCAGCCGAUCACUCAAUGGAAGUGGACGCUUCGGACUAUGGAAUUGAGACCAGAAUUCCAUUUCGUGAUCCUUCUGGCUUCGGAAGUGCACGACUGCGUCCGCCGCACUCGCUGCCAAGUCCAGAUAAGGAUCCUCCGCAUCGUACAAAUGGCCCAGCUGAGCAUACUUCGGAUCCGUGAACUUCCUACGGAGCAUAAAGGGCUUUCCAGCCACAAUGUCUUCGACCUGACGCAGUUCCUCCUUCAUAGCCCGCAUCUUACUAUGGGCAUCCUUGGCUUCGGCGUCGGCCUUCUUCAGGUCCUCUUGCUCCGCUCAGCGUUCUCUUUCAAGAACCUCCUGGCGGUCGGUAGCAACUUUUAAUUUCGCGGCCAUUCCGGCCAUCUCCUCCCUGCUUCGGCAGUGAGCAGCCUUCUCGGCUUCUAGCUCUUCCGCUGCCUUCGAGGCAGCCGCCUCGCUUUUUCUGGCUUGCUCCUUGGCCCGAACAAGUUCUGCUCGCAGGUCUUCCACAACAGCAGCACCAUCUACAUCAAGCAUACAAAUUGUAAGGAACGGGCGUCAGCUCCCUUACUAGGCGACCACGGAGCAACCACAUACCUUGUGACUCAUCCAGUCGUUUAUUGACCAGUGAGAUGUCCGCAUCCGCAACAUUGAGUUGCCUCUUCAGUUCGGCAACUCCAUCAGUCCGGCUGGCCACCGAACGUUCCGCCACCUACAUAGGAAAGGUGACAUUCUAUAACUGAGAUUAUGAUCAUUGGCACGCUAUCGCUUUCGACAGCAUACCAAGUCUCAGGGGGUACUAUCUAUACAGGGCGCACUUCAUGUGCAAAACUGUCAAAAGGUAUGUCAUUUUUUGCGUACCUCAAAACCCGUCAGCAAGCUUCCGACGGCCUCACACAACCCGCUCUCGGUGGACAAGAUCUUUUCAAUCACCUUACUCAUUAAUGUGCGGUGAUCUUCCGAGAUAGACGCCCUCUUAAGCAAAUCCUGCAGCUCCACCGGCCGUACUCCACUGGGUGUCGAACACUCUAGCCCCGCCGGACUCGGGGAGACCCUCCGCGACGACACCUCAGGGUCGUCCGCCCCGCACGAUGGGGCGGCAGAUGGAGGCAUUUCACUCUCCAUCAUCUCCGGACGAAGGUCCCCCGAAGAUGAGCUGUGCUGAGACAGGCUGAGAUCCGAACUACAAGAUGAAAACUUCGGUUAUCCUCAUAAAUUAAGCAGGGGUGCCCACUAUUACAAAACUUCCCCUUUUUACUUACGGCUCGCUGGAGGGCUGAUUCCUCCGAGGAGACAGUACGGCCGGGGCUCUUCCCAGCAUAGGACCUUCCGGUACAGAUUUCUUUCCCCGCUUUGAGGACUUGGCCUCCGGGUCUUCGGAAGUUGUCCUCUUCUCCCCCUGGAAGGAGGGACACUCGAUUCCUCCCUUAUUAAAGGCCUCCUUGGCAGAGGUGGUAGUUCCCCUGUGCCUCCCUUUGCCGUUCUUUGAAGGUGCAACCUCCAACAUUUUGAUUAACACGGGAUCCUGCGUGGUCUCAGGGAGGGGGGCCGGACACCGUAUCAGUUUUGCUUGCACUAUCCACUCCUGUCCAAGGGAUAGUUGGUCAAAAGGCAAACUCACGAUAAAUUUAUGCACCAUUCCGCAGCCUACCCCUGGAGGGGGACAUGUUUCACAGUCCCAUUCCUUGCCUAUCGCACCAUUUGUAUCGUCCUGCACUUACAGCAGUUUUUCUUGAAUAAGUAAUGCAGCACCUUUUUGCCUGCAAUUGCACUUCUUUUUUAUACAUACGUUCAUUCGUGACAUUACGCAUCCGUACGUUUUGGUACGGCUAAAUACACCAGGGGCUUAUGUUUCCCGCAUCAUGGUGUGAUAAGUCCGAACACUUUCACAAGUGCGGCACCCCGAACUUAUAGCAUUAUAUGCAUCAGCUCUGAAUCAUGUCUUGGGUCAAUAAUUGGGUUUGCCCGGCUCCCAUGUUUUGGUACCUUACAUUCCAUUGUAUCGGCUAAGGUGGCACUGGGAGAACCACUGCGAUUGCGCCCCAGUUGACCUGGGUUAACGCCUCAGUGGAGAAAGCUAAAACUGACCAUCAUGAUGAGGCGAGAGCUGGUCGCUGUUCGAGAGGUUUUUUGCGAGUCCCUAAAGACUUAUGCCGCUUAGAGCGAGGAGCCGGUUUUUGUCCGGCCCAGGCGUGGAUAGCGCCCCAAAUUCGGCCUUCCGAAGACUAGGGGCUUCACCGAAAUUUAAAAUUAUAGAAUUCUAUGGCUAAGUGAGAGUGUUCAAGCAUUAUAAGUCCAGUUGCCUUGUUCGUUGUGUUGAGCGCCUCCCUAGAUGGACCCAAAUAUGGGAACAAGAGUGCUCAAAUUUAUCCCGAACACCCCAGCACUCGUGGCAUGGGGGAUGAAGCCGACGACUUGCCAUCUCUCAGAUUUGAUAAACAGCCGCACAGAAGGUAAUAUUUUAAAUUAAAAUGCGUUGCUUAGCGCAAAUGAACUAAGUUUUCAGCGCACAGGAUAAAAAAAUGCGAGUCUACUCAAAUAUUACAUCUUUGGAGCACUCACCCGCAAUGGUGCGGUCGCCCUUCAGCACACUCUUAUAAUACAUCUCGGGUGUGCGAUGCUCCUUUACCUCCGGUGGUGGGUCCGUCACGAGCUUCUGGGCAUCCAUCUUGCCCCAGUGCACCUUUGCGCGGGCAAGGCCCGACGGGCACCUUCAAUACAGGUGGAGUGCUUGAUGACUUCAACCCACGGGCACGCAUCCACCAGCCGCUGCACCAGGCCGAAGUAGCUCCCAGGCAUGGCCUCCUUAGGCCACAGCCGAACGAUGAGGCCCUUCAUGGCCUGUUUGGCCGCGUUGUGGAGCUCGACCAGCUGCUUUAGCUGGUCGCUAAGGGGCACCGGAUGUCCGACCUCAGCAUACUGAGACCAGAAGACCUUCUCCGUCGAGCUCCCCUCCUCGGCCCAGUAGAACGCGGCAGCAUCGGACACGCUGCGAGGAAGAUCUGCAAACGCUCCUGGAGAGCUCCGAAUCCGGGUAAGCAACAGGUAAUUAACACUCACAUGCUUACUUUGCAUGAAAAAUGCCUUACCCGCUGCUAUUUUCUUCAACGCCUCGAUUUCCUGGAGGGCCUUGUAGGCUUCGGCCUUAGCGGCUUUGGCACUCUCAAGAGCCGUUGCAAGCUCAGACUCUCGAGUCUUCGAGUCACGCUCCAGGCUCUCAUGCUUUUUCAUGAGAUCCUGGAGCUCUUGCUGUACCUCCGCCACCCGCGCCUCCUGCUUCUCUCGCUCGGUGCGCUCCACGGCCGCAUUGCGUUCGGCUGCAGCCACCGCCUCCUUCAGGGUCGCCACCUCGUUAGUGGCCCCUGCAAUACCCACGUUAUGCCUGUCUUUCAUUUUGCAACCAAAAUCCUUUUCUGUAAGGUACAAUUUUAAUAAGGUGUUACUCACCUUCCUUGUCCUCGAGCUGCUUCUUGGCACGGCCGAGCUCGUUCUCGGACCGCUCGAGGCCUUCCUUCAAAGUAUUGACCUCCGCAGUUAGUGCGGCAGAGGUCAGCAGUGCAGCCUGCAAUCCCAUAUCGACAUAUUUUUUAUGACUCCUGCGUAUAUCUUCUUAGAUCCUGAGUCCGGCUUUUCUUUCCGAACACCGAACCGAGCAUCAGGGGCUACUGUCUAUGCGGUACUAUUUUACAUAUAUCAAAAUUCUUACCUCAAAGCCUGUUAGAAGGCUGCUGCAGGCUUCGGUCAGCCCGCUCUUGGCGAGCUGCACCUUCUGAAUCACCGCACUCAUAACAGUGCUGUGUUCCUCUUCGAUGGAGGCGAUAUUGAGCGCCUCCAGCAAGCUAUCCGACGCCUCCAGUUGGACGGAGGCUGCCGGUGUCAUGGUCUUUCCCUUCUUACGAAGGGGCCGCCCGCCGGACUCCGGAGCCACUAUGGGAUCCGGAGCCGAGUCCGGUGCAAAGUCCGGGAGGUUGUCCUGCGACACCUCCGGGGCCUCCUCCUCCUGGCGGGUCCCUUCCCGGGAUCCCACCUCGGCGUCGUCCAUGUCACGGGGGGUGGAGGCGGUCGGAAGAGAAUCCAUAUCCGACGCACCUAAGGACCCGCUCGACGAAGCGGGAAAAUCGUCCUUGGGCGGACUGCAGGGGCGUAUGCGGCAUUAGAAAGACAUUGUGUGGCAAAACAGAUAAACCAUGAAGUUAUUCGGGAGUCCGGAUACUCACGAUCUCGCCAGGGGCUUGGCCCUUGGAGGCCAGUCCUCGUCGUCAUCGCUGGCGUUGGCAGAGCAGUCUGGGGGAAGAGUUUUUCCCUUCUUGGACCCUNNNNNNNNNNNNNNNNNNNNNNNNNNNNNNNNNNNNNNNNNNNNNNNNNNNNNNNNNNNNNNNNNNNNNNNNNNNNNNNNNNNNNNNNNNNNNNNNNNNNNNNNNNNNNNNNNNNNNNNNNNNNNNNNNNNNNNNNNNNNNNNNNNNNNNNNNNNNNNNNNNGGGAAGAGGCUUUCUUCUUCUCCUCCUCACCUUGGUGAGAGGAGUCGGGCUCGGAGUCGUCAUCUGAUAGCACCUGAAAACGGGAACUCUUCCGAGUCCCCGUGGCCUUCUUCUUGGCCUUCUUCCCCGGCACCACAUGGGGUGCCGGAGCCAGCAGCCCCGUCAAACGGGCGUCCGCUGGGUCCUCUGGCAAUGGGGCCAGACAGAUAGCAUGUUCGUCCUUCUUCAGCCAGUCCUGUCAAAGGAAAGGGAGUUUAGAUCCCGCAUAGAGUCAAACUAUGGAAAACAAGCGUCCCUUAAAGGACAAAAUCACUUACCUCAUCAGCUGGACGCUCCGAGCUGAAUCCGCGAUCUUCGGUAGCAGAUGCGGGAGCCUCGGCGCCCUUGAACAGCACCUUCCAGACAUCUUCGUACGUAGUGUCGAAGAGCCCAUUCAAAGUCUGGUGGUGCGCUGGAUCGAACUCCCACAUGUUGAAGCCCCGUCGUUGGCACGGGAGAAUCUGGCGGAUGAGCAUGACCUGGACUACGUUGACAAGCUUGAGCUUCUUGUCCACUAGCUUUUGGAUGCAAGCUUGGAGUCUGGUCAGCUCCUCCGUAUCACCCCAUGACCGGCCGCUCUCUUUCCAGGAGGUGAGCCGUGUGGGGAUGCCGGAUCGGAAUUCGGGGGCCGCUGCCCAUUCGGGGUCACACGGCUCGGUGAUGUAGAACCACCCCGAUUGCCACCCCUUGAUGGUUUCCAAGAAAUUGCCCUCAAGCCAAGUAACGUGGGACAUCCUGCCCACCAUGGCACCUCCGCACUCCGCUUGGCUGCCCUUCACAACCUUCGGCUUGACACUGAAGGUCUUGAGCCACAAGCCGAAGUGCGGCUGGAUGUAGAGGAAGGCCUCAUACAUGACGAUAAACGCCGAGAUGUUGAGGAUGAAAUUCGGGGCCAAAUCAUGGAAAUCCAGGCCGUAGUAGAACAUGAGCCCCCGGACAAAGGGAUGGAGUGGGAAGCCCAGUCCACGGAGGAAAUGGGGAAGGAAUACUACCCUCUCAUGGGGCUUGGGGGUCGGGAUGAGCUCUCCCUCGUUGGGGAGCCGGUGCGCGAUGUCGCUGGGCAAGUAUCCGACACUGCGCAGCUUCUGGAUCUGCCCCUCCGUGACGGAGGAGGCCAUCCACUUGCCUCCCGCUCCGAACAUAGUUGGAGAAGGUUGAGGUGAGAUGUGCGGGCUUGGGCGCUGGAGCUCGGGUUCGCAGAGAUGGAUAAGCCAAGGAGGAAGAAGGCGCAGGUAAUAGGGUUGGAUCUUUAUCCCCUUAUAUGGGCGGACGAAAACAUGCGUCCCCACCGGCCUAAUAAAACUCGCUUAUCCCCCAAGCGCCCUAAUCAAUGGCGCGGUUGGGUUACCCACGUCCGUAUUGAUGGGGAUCCCGGAAUAAGGGGAACACGAUCUCUGCUUCGACAAGACGUGCCAAGGAAACCGCUUCACUAAACGCGCUGAGGUGAUACAAUAAAAACGAUUUAAGUAAAAGGCUUGGUAGCGGUGUGACGUCACACCAUCAAAUACGUCAGCAGAUUGAACUUGUGUAAAUAUUAUUCUCUCUACGGUGGUAUGUGGAAUUUUUUUUUGCAGAGCCGGACACUA